RNAcentral lists this ribosomal RNA (407 nucleotides) under uncultured bacterium. RNAcentral describes it as "partial 16S ribosomal RNA". It matches the Rfam family "Bacterial small subunit ribosomal RNA", at positions 29 to 526 of the family's 1533-position model. The record is from RNAcentral.
AAUGAACGCUAGCGGGAUGCCUUACACAUGCAAGUCGAACGGAGUGGCGAACGGGUGAGUAAUGUAUCGGAACGUGCCCCGUAGCGGGGGAUAAAUACGCGAAAGAGUAGCUAAUAACGCAUACUAUUAGACCGGCCGAUAUCGGCGUAGCUAGUUGGUGGGGUACAGGCUCACCAAGGCGACGAUCCGUAGCCGGUGUGAGAGGACGACUAGCCACACUGGGACGGAGACACUGCCCAGACUCCUACGGGAGGCAGCAGUAGGGAAUUUUGGACAAUGGAGGAAACCCUGCUCGAGCCAUCCCGCUUGUGCGAUGAAGGCCUUCGGGUUAUAAAGCACUUUUGGUAGGAAAGCGGUACCUGCAGAAUAAGCACCGGCUAACUACGUGCCAGCAGCCGCGGUAAUAC